RNAcentral lists this ribosomal RNA (1117 nucleotides) under uncultured bacterium. RNAcentral's name for it is "bacterial SSU rRNA". It matches the Rfam family "Bacterial small subunit ribosomal RNA", at positions 8 to 1080 of the family's 1533-position model. The record is from RNAcentral.
AGAGUUUGAUCCUGGCUCAGGGCGAACGCUGGCGGCGCGCCUAACACAUGCAAGUCGUGCGAUCGGCCCCCGAGAAGUCCCUUCGGGGAUGGAUCGGGGGUACGGAGCGGCGAACGGGUGAGUAACACGUAGCUAACCUGCCCCCGCGUCGGGGAUAACCCUCCGAAAGGGGGGCUAAUACCCGAUGGCCUCCCGGGGUCACAAGAUCCCGGGAGUAAAGGCGCUUCGGCGCCGCGCGGGGAGGGGGCUGCGGCCCAUCAGCUAGUUGGUGGGGUAACGGCCCACCAAGGCGAUGACGGGUAGGGGGCCUGAGAGGGUGGCCCCCCACACGGGCACUGAGACACGGGCCCGACUCCUACGGGAGGCAGCAGUGGGGAAUCUUGGGCAAUGCCCGCAAGGGUGACCCAGCGACGCCGCGUGGGGGAUGAAGCCCUUCGGGGUGUAAACCCCUUUUCUGGGGGACGAAUAAGGGGAGGAGGGAAUGCCCCCCCGAUGACGGUACCCCAGGAAUAAGGGACGGCUAACUACGUGCCAGCAGCCGCGGUAAGACGUAGGUCCCGAGCGUUGCCCGGAUUCACUGGGCGUAAAGUGCGCGUAGGCGGUUCGGCAAGUCGCCCGUGAAAGCCCCUGGCUCAACUGGGGGAGGUCGGGCGAUACUGCCGGGCUAGAGGGCGGCAGAGGGAGGUGGAACGGCCGGAGUAGCGGUGAAAUGCGUAGAUACCGGCCGGAAUCCCGAUGGCGAAGGCAACCUCCUGGGCCGUUCCUGACGCUGAGGCGCGAAGGCUGGGGGAGCGAACCGGAUUAGAUACCCGGGUAGUCCCAGCCCUAAACGAUGCGGGCUAGGUGUCGGCCCGUUAUUGGGUCGGUGCCGCAGUUAACGCGUUAAGCCCGCCGCCUGGGGAGUACGGGUCGCAAGGCUGAAACUCAAGGGAAUUGACGGGGGCCCGCACAAGCGGCGGGGGCAUGUGGUUUAAUUCGAUGCUAAGCGAAGAACCUUACCUGGGCUUGACAUGGCGGGUGGUGCCGACCCGAAAGGGAGGACCCAGGCUUCGGGGCUGGGGCCGCACAGUGCUGCAAUGGGCUGUUCGUUCAGACCUUCAUGUCUGAGUGGUUAUCG